UCUAAGAAGGGGGAGUCCUGAACUUGCCUGAAGCCAUUGUCCCUAAGCCUUGAACUACAUUCUUAAAUCUAUGAAGUCGAGGGCCCUUUCGCUGCUUUUGUAGGGACUUCUUUCCUUCCUCAGCAACAUGAGGCUUUUCUUGUGGAAAGCGGUCUUGACUCUGUUCGUCACUUCUUUGAUUGGGGCUUUGAUCCCUGAACCAGAAGUGAAAAUUGAAGUUCUCCAGAAGCCAUUCAUCUGCCAUCGCAAGACCAAAGGAGGGGAUUUGAUGUUGGUCCACUAUGAAGGCUACUUAGAAAAGGACGGCUCCUUGUUUCACUCCACUCACAAACAUAACAAUGGUCAGCCCAUUUGGUUUACCCUGGGCAUCCUGGAGGCUCUCAAAGGUUGGGACCAGGGCUUGAAAGGAAUGUGUGUAGGAGAGAAGAGAAAACUAAUCAUUCCUCCUGCUCUGGGCUAUGGAAAAGAAGGAAAAGGUAAUAGUAUUUCUGUAUUUCUUACUAUAGCACUAGAAUUGUUCUCUGGAUUAGGAGACAGAAGUUAGAGUCACUACAACUUUUUUUUUUUUUUCCUAGAAGUUAAUAGGGGGUAUGCAUUCCUUUAGCAACUGUAUUAUGUCUUGAUUAUCAAUUGAAAUGGCCAGUUUAAGGCCGUAAUGUCUAAAUGGGCAACCAUGCUAACAAUAAAAAAAGAGCAUUGAGGUCUAUUAAUACUGUUCACCAAUAUGGUGGGUUGUUUUAAUUGUGAUAA
RNAcentral lists this small RNA (750 nucleotides) under Pongo abelii (Sumatran orangutan). RNAcentral's name for it is "retained intron". The record is from RNAcentral. Lineage: Eukaryota; Metazoa; Chordata; Mammalia; Primates; Hominidae.